This 403-nucleotide ribosomal RNA is filed under the name uncultured bacterium. RNAcentral's name for it is "partial 16S ribosomal RNA". It matches the Rfam family "Bacterial small subunit ribosomal RNA", at positions 30 to 526 of the family's 1533-position model. The record is from RNAcentral.
AUUGAACGCUGGCGGCAGGCCUAACACAUGCAAGUCGAGCGAGCGGCGGACGGGUGAGUAAUGUAUGGGGACUCCCCGAUAGAGGGGGAUAACUACUGGAAACGGUAGCUAAUACCCCAUACUCCCUGAUUACCCAUAUGGGAUUAGCUAGUAGUGGGGGUAAGGGCUCACCUAGACGACGAUCCCUAGCUGGUCUGAGAGGAGGAGCAGCCACACUGGGACUGAGACACGGCCCAGACUCCUACGGAGGCAGCAGUGGGGAAUAUUGCACAAUGGGCGCAAGCCUGAUGCAGCCAUGCCGCGUGUAUGAAGAAGGCCCUCGGGUUGUAAAGUACUUUCAGUCGGGAGGCGUUACCGACAGAAGAAGCACCGGCUAACUCCGUGCCAGCAGCCGCGGUAAUUC